GAUGAACGCUGGCGGCGUGCCUAAUACAUGCAAGUCGAGCGAACGGACGAGAAGCUUGCUCCUUUGACGUUAGCGGCGGACGGGUGAGUAACACGUAGAUAACCUACCUAUAAGACUGGGAUAACUUCGGGAAACCGCAGCUAAUACCGGAUAAUAUUUCGAACCGCAGGGUUCAAUAGUGAAAGAGGGCUUUGCUGUCACUUAUAGAUGGUCCCGCGCCGUAUUAGCUAGUUGGUAAGGUAACGGCUUACCAAGGCAACGAUGCGUAGCCGACCUGAGAGGGUGAUCGGCCACACUGGAACUGAGACACGGUCCAGACUCCUACGGGAGGCAGCAGUAGGGAAUCUUCCGCAAUGGGCGAAAGCCUGACGGAGCAACGCCGCGUGAGUGAUGAAGGUCUUCGGAUCGUAAAACUCUGUUAUUAGGGAAGAACAAAAGUGUAAGUAACUGUGCACGUCUUGACGGUACCUAAUCAGAAAGCCACGGCUAACUACGUG
RNAcentral lists this ribosomal RNA (497 nucleotides) under uncultured bacterium. Its description in RNAcentral is "partial 16S ribosomal RNA". It matches the Rfam family "Bacterial small subunit ribosomal RNA", at positions 28 to 507 of the family's 1533-position model. The record is from RNAcentral.